AGCACCCCAUAUUGUGGCCGCAGGAGCUCCCGAAAGUUGACCAGCAAAAGCACCAAACGCCCUGGAACUAUUUUGGGCAUAGGACCAUGUGUGCGGCCGGUCAGAACUUUAACAUGGUGGCAUUUGCCCUUCACUGCAUGGAUCUGAGCGCUAUUUGGAAAACUUGGGCGCUCAGAUCAGGGCUGUUUGUGGAUGUAUUAUUU
Molecule: non-coding RNA, 203 nt
Organism: Pelobates cultripes (western spadefoot toad)
Lineage: Eukaryota; Metazoa; Chordata; Amphibia; Anura; Pelobatidae
Source: the annotation of a GenBank genome assembly